GCACCGUGGCCGUUGCAGGCUGCAUCCUUCCCCUCGCCAGCACGGAGCUGCCGCGCUGCAUCUCACUUUUACAACGCGGCUUGUGCAGCCGCGACUGCACCGCAUGCAACGGUGCAUCGGUGGCUGAUCGAUUCCUGUAUCGGAAAGCAAUCCGUAGCCGCAUGGUGACGUCACGCCGCUGAUCGGUGAUAGUGGCUGGGCGGGUUGGUGGCUGGCUGGCUGGCUGGGUAGCCUACCUCGCGGACGCCAGGGAAAUAUAGACCGAUGGGUGCAUUUAAACUCCACAUCGGAUAAAAAGAAAAGUAGGCUACAAAAAAAAAAAAAAGCACAACAUCUUACUAGGAGUGUGUGGACGCGCACGGGACUGCUCGCUGUUUGUUUUGUUUAUUUGUCGCGUGGGAAAUGUAGUAGCUCUCACGGCCGCCAGCGGGGGGAUGGAUGCGUAACAGGACGGAUCGAGCCAGCUGUGGCCUGCUUCUAACAGCAACAUCUGGCCGGUGAGUCGCACUGACAGGCGGCGCAGCUUGCCCCAGGCGGGCGGGCAGCUUGGUGAACCAGGCACGGUAACAGCCAGGGAGGCUCGGUGUCUGUGCAGCCGCGCUCCCUGAUCUCUGGUUGGGGUCAGAGAGGGCUCCUCAGCAGCCAGCCGGCUCUGGACUACAGCGAGGAGAUGGAGGAGGGGGAAGGGCCCAUGGCGGUCAGAGAGGGGCAGAGCGGUCAUGGCCUCCCACCGAACGCCAGCAGCAGCAGCAGCACCACCACCACCACCAACAACCUCCUGGCUUCCGUCAAAGAGCAGGAGCUUCAGUUUGAGCGGCUGACUCGGGAGCUGGAGGAGGAGCGGCAGAUCGUGGCGAGCCAGCUGGAGAGGUGCAUGCUGGGAGCUGAGUCACCAGCGGGAGACAGUAGCAGCUCAUCCGAGAAGUCGUUUGCAUGGAGAUCCGCAGGUGGAGAGUCGCAGGGCGGAGUCCUGAAGGGGUCUGGAUGUCCGGGACGUCCCCUGGAGGUGGAGGACGGCCUCUACAUGCCUGAACCGGACCGCGCCUCCCUGCAUGACAGUGAGGGCUCCGGAGGCCACUCGGCUCAGAUGACCUCGUAUUCCGACAGCGGCUACCAGGACAGCAGCGUUAGUUUUUACAGCAACCAAAAUGUGGUGCGAUCGGAGCCCCGGGCCUCAAUAUCGAGGAGCCCAAGAGCCGAGGGCCAGGCCUCUGGGCAGGUGUCUGGCAGGGUGUUACGCCGGAUGGCCUCUCUCCCUUCCAGGAGCCAGUCUCCCGGUUGCGGCACCGCCGGCACGGUCUCCCCCUCCCGCAUCUCCCUGCGAACGUCCCAGGGCAGCACCUACGACUCACCCAUUCUCUCGGAGCCCAAGCCUCUGGCGGCCGUGUUCCCCGGCACCUUCAUCCCGCCCGCCUGCCAGUCGCCAACCUCUCCGACAGACGGCCUCCAGGCCCCAGGUGUUGGGUUGGUAGGAGGCAGGGGUCGCCUGGGCUCCACCCUUUCUCUGGUGGAGGGGAGGUGUUUGACGGGGUCGCCGCUGCGCUCGGGGAUGACAGCCGUGCCGCAGCACUACGGCUCAACGCUGCCCCGGCAGAGCCAGCCGCUGGCCUACGGUGCCGACCCGUACGGCCUGUACCAGAGGACCGCGCUGCCCCGUCCCGACAGCCUCAUAGGGCUUCACAGUUCCUACGUCGGUCAGGCGGGGCAGAUCCAUUCAGAGCUGAGGGGGGCGCUGUCUCCAGACUGCCACAUGACGCCCGUGUUCGAUGAGCGCUCCUUCCACAGCCCCAUGUACCACAGCCCCACCCACGACCCCCAAGGCUCGCUCUACAGGACAAACACAGGUAUGGCGACCCUCCCUCGGGCUACGAGCCACAGCGGCACAUUGCCGUACCAAAGAAGCAGCUACGGGCUGAGCACGGCGGCUCUGUACGUCGACUCCUACGGGGUCUCUGGCGAGCCCGUCUUCUCCCACCGCCACUCGGGGCUGGUGGAGCGGGUGGUCACGCGCACCCCGUCCAUCGAAAGUAUCCACAAAGACCCCAGAGAGUUUGCAUGGCGUGAUCCCGAGCUGCCGGAGGUCAUCCACAUGCUGCAGCAUCACUUCCCCUCCGUCCAGGCCAACGCCGCCGCCUACCUGCAGCACCUGUGCUACGGAGACAACAGGGUCAAGGUGGAGGUGUGUCACCUGGGAGGGAUCCAGCACCUGGUGGACCUGCUGGAUCACAAGCUGACUGAGGUCCAGAAGAGCGCCUGCGGGGCCCUGAGGAACCUGGUGUACGGCAAGGCCACCGACAACAACAAGGUGGCGCUGAGGAACUGCGGCGGCGUCCCCGCCCUGCUGCGCCUCCUCCGGAAAACAACCGACAACGAUGUUCGCGAGCUGGUCACAGGCGUCCUGUGGAACCUCUCGUCAUGUGACGCGGUGAAGAUGACCAUCAUCCGCGACGCUCUGAGCACGCUGACCAACACGGUGGUCAUCCCCCACUCUGGCUGGAGCAGCGGCGCGCACCGCGAAGAACACAAAGUCAAGUUCCAGUCCUCACUGCUGCUGCGGAACACCACCGGCUGCCUGAGGAACCUGAGCUCAGCAGGGGAGGAGGCGAGGAGUCAGCUGCGUUGCUGUGAAGGUCUGGUGGACUCGCUGCUUCACGUCCUCAAAGCCUGCGUCAACACCUCCGACUACGACAGCAAGAUCGUAGAGAACAGCGUGUGCACCCUGAGGAACCUGUCAUACCGGCUGGAGGUGGAGAUGCCCUCCUCUCGUCUCCUCGGCAACCCAGAGCUGGACACCCUGCUGGGCUUCUCCUCGCCGGCCAAGGAGCUGGACUACCUCUGCUGGGGCAAGAGGAGGCACGGCCGGAAGAGGGGCGGCUGGCCCGAUGACAAGUGGGACGGCGUGGGGCCGAUCCCGGGUUUCUCCCAGCCUCUGAGGGGGGCGGAGCUGCUGUGGCACCCGGUGGUGGUGAAGCCGUACCUCAACCUGCUGGCCGAGAGCUCCAACCCCGCCACGCUGGAGGGCGCCGCCGGCUCGCUGCAAAACCUCUCCGCCGGCAACUGGAAGUUCUCGGCCUACAUCCGAGCUGCGGUGCGUAAAGAGAAGGGUCUGCCCAUCCUGGUGGAGCUGCUGCGGAUGGACAACGACCGGGUGGUCUGCUCCGUUGCCACCGCCCUCCGCAACAUGGCGCUGGACAGCCGCAACAAGGAGCUGAUAGGAAAGUAUGCCAUGCGGGAUCUGGUUAACCGGCUGCCUGGCGGCAGUCCAACGGUGCUGUCGGACGAGACGGUGGCGUCGGUCUGCUGCACGCUGCACGAGGUCACCAGCCGCAACAUGGAGAACGCUAAAGCUCUGGCCGACAGCGGAGGCAUCGAGAAGCUGGUGGACAUCAGCAAAGGACGGGGGAAAGGGUACUCAACGAAGGUCGUGAAGGCGGCAGCGCAGGUGUUGAACACGCUGUGGCAGUACAGAGAGCUGAGGAACCUCUACAAACAGGAUGGCUGGAACUAUACUCACUUCGUCACUCCUGUCUCCACGCUGGAGCGAGACCGCUACCUUUCCCAGCCGACCCUGCCCACCGGCCCGCUGCAGAUGUCCCCAGUCAUCCAAUCAGGUGGCAGCGCGACCUCCUCGCCGGCGAUGCUCGGGAUAAGAAGACACAGUUCAAACUAUCAGAGAGCGCAGUCAUCUAUGCAACUCGACACGUAUUACGGAGACAACAGUUUACACAAACAGCCGUUCGCAGGGUCUGAGAAGAAAACUCCGUAUUUCAUUCAGACAUAUUCUUCCCAGUCGGGAGAGGAUUUGAGAAGGUCCCAGCACACAGAGCCAUUUUACGACGAACCCGACGGGAAGAAUUACAACAGCUACCGUAUCUACCUGUCGUCCCCGCGGGGCUACGGCGAGGAGCACUACGAGGACGAGCCGGUGCACCUGACCCCAUCCUCCCCCGACGGCUACGCCGGCCAGUCGCUCCAGUUCAAAGCCAACACUAACACCAACUACGUGGACUUCUACUCCACCACACGGCGGCCUUCAAACAGGGCGAACAAGUUCACCGGCUCCCCCGACUCCUGGGUGUAACUAGACACAAAAUGGACACCGUAGAUGCUUCUCAUGUUGCUUAAGUUACCUCCUCGACUCCUCCACUUGUCUCCCUUCACAGGAGGAGAGAGGAACUGAGGAAAUGUGUUUAAGGCUUGGGAGGAGUUAGUAACUCCUUCAGCUGCAAGACUUCCGGGAAGGCUGCUCUCGUGUGUCCUUGUCUAUUGCUCCUCAGGGAUCCCUCCUCACUGAUCCCUCUCUCUUAGGGGAUCCCUCCUCGAUGCUCGGGGCAUUAGAGCUUUGAGACGGCCUUCACCGAGGAGGGACGGACCAAUAUCUGGUUCAGCCGAGGAGUCGAGUAGCUAUCACAUAAGCGACAUGAGUAGCACCCCCUGUUGUGUAUGUCCAGCUUCUGUUUGUGUGUGUGUGUGUGUGUGUGUGGGGGGGGGGGUAGUGCAGUGCACGUUGUAGGUGUGUGGAUGUGCUGUGUGGUUGUGUGCAGGGUUACAAACUUAGAACCACCUACCAGCCAAAUGCUGCUAAAGUAAGCGCGUGGCUUGUAGAUUUGCUUCACUCACCAGCCAAAAAACAAUGUGAAUAUUGACUUUUUUGAUUUGAUUUAUUAAGACAACAACAGCGUGACAUGUACUGUAUGACAAAAUAAGUAAAAAUGAAAAGGAAACUUAUAAAACCCUUACAGGGCUUGACAUGUUGGGUUCCCUUAAGCAAUUCUUAGUAAAUCUAUUGAGUGGCUGGUAAAAUUUGAACAUUCACCAUUCGUCAUUUGGCUGAACAAAAAAGGGAAUUUUGGACCCUGGAUGUGUGUGAAAGGUUGAGGAUGCAUGGGAAUGUGUGUGUGCAUCUGUGUUGAAAACUGUAUGACCAGGGGCUUGGUUUUUCCCAUGUGCAGCUUUUGACUAAUCUAGGCCAGGUGCACAGUAAUGCAGAU
Molecule: RNA transcript, 4991 nt
Organism: Etheostoma cragini (Arkansas darter)
Lineage: Eukaryota; Metazoa; Chordata; Actinopteri; Perciformes; Percidae
Gene name: plakophilin-4-like
Exons: 23
Source: RefSeq, a predicted model, not a curated record